This 67-nucleotide transfer RNA is filed under the name Perotrochus quoyanus. RNAcentral describes it as "tRNA-Trp". The record is from RNAcentral. Lineage: Eukaryota; Metazoa; Mollusca; Gastropoda; Pleurotomariida; Pleurotomariidae. RNAcentral also lists the same sequence under 1 other name.
AAGGUCUUAGGUUAAAAAAACUGUAAGCCUUCAAAGCUUUUGAUAGAGAGGGACUCUUUAGGCCUUG